GAAAGGUUGGGUAAUUCCCGAUAGUCCCGUAAGGGUAAAGGUUUUUCGCUCGGGGAGUUGCUUGCGCAGUAUCAGCUAGUUGGUAGGGUAACGGCCUACCCAGGCGACGACGCUUAGGGGAGGUGAGAGGCUGACCCCCCCCGAUGGGACUGCGACCCGGCCCCUACUCCUACGGGAGGCCGCCGACGAGAAUAUUCCGCAAUGGGCGAAAGCCCGACGGAGCGACGCCGCGUGAUCGAUGAAGUGCUUCGGUACGUAAAGGUUUUUUAUCCGGGACGAAGUUUAUUGACGGAAGCUGAUGAAUAAGGGGCUCCUAACUUUGUGCC
Molecule: ribosomal RNA, 326 nt
Filed under: uncultured bacterium
Lineage: Bacteria
Description: partial 16S ribosomal RNA
Rfam family: Bacterial small subunit ribosomal RNA
Source: RNAcentral